UGAGGAACAUGACCUUCGGCGGGGGAUAGCCGGCCCAACGGCCGGGUAAUACCGCGUACGACCACAUGGGGACAUCCCUGAGUGGUGAAAGCAGCAAUGCGCCGAUGGAGUGCCUCGCGGCCUAUCAGCUAGUUGGUGAGGUAACGGCUCACCAAGGCGACGACGGGUAGCCGGCCUGAGAGGGUGACCGGCCACACGUGGGACUGAGACACGGCCCAGACUCCGUACGGGAGNAG
Molecule: ribosomal RNA, 236 nt
Filed under: uncultured bacterium
Lineage: Bacteria
Description: partial 16S ribosomal RNA
Rfam family: Bacterial small subunit ribosomal RNA
Source: RNAcentral